CUGCAUUCACAGCACGAUGUGUGUGACUGUGUGUGUGUGUAAAUGUGAAAGCGUAGUUGAGUGUGUGCACAGUAUGCUGCAGAACAGCAGUUAAGUAACUUAUACGCCGUGGUGGCUUGACGCUGGUGAUUACACAAUGCAUAGUAAAGUGCAUACAGUCAUAUUUAGGCCGACACGUUCGUUUAAGUCACUGACGCCUUGAGCCGUUUUGCCAGCUCCAUUAUUUUCUCAUCAGUUUUCUUACAUCAUCCCUUCACUAUUUGUUGUUCCGUUUUUAUUGUUCACUACAGAUGUUUCAUUAAUUGAUGAGCUUACCCUAAAUGGACAUCACGUGUCGCUGACAUCUCGAGCUUGCCUUACCAUGUUUAUGCCAAAUAAAUAAAUAAAGGAAAAUCAGAAAAACCAAAAAAGGCCGCAAAUCUGUAUAUUUCGCUAUUUCUAUGCCGUUCUGCAUCUGACUAGCCUUAUUUAAAGAUAUUAUAUAUAAUAUAUGGGAUUUUUCAAUGGGGCACUACAAAAGUAGAGCGAUAGGGACAGCAAACGACGCCAUAUUUCUCUUCAGUAAAGUUUGCCAUUUCAACGUAAAAAGAUAUACGAUCCAGCACGAGUCGAAAUUAUUAAAAUGUACUACAUAAAUUCGGAGUCAGUGGCCUCAUCUUUAAGAGCUACACUUAAAAACAUUUGAGGUUACAUUAUGUUUUCGAAAAGAUCUCAAUAUACGUAACUAGCAUAACCCUUCGGAAAAUACACUCGUUUACUUUCAUUUUGUAAAUGUGGUGUAGUAAUGCUGUUUGUUGUUAAUUUUGGGUCGCCAAACCCGAAAAUGAUAGCUAAAAUCAUCUAACACCUAAGGUUUUGUGUUUUAGUCAAGGGGCGUAGAAACCAAUCCACAACAAUUUCCUAAAAUAAAACUAACUGUACGUGAUGGAAAAUUUUUGAACCUUUUCUAGUAUGUAAAUUCUUGGACACAAAGCUCAAUUUCCCUUGUGAGAAUAUACAUAGCAACUAUAAACUACUCAGUACCGGUAACGUAUGCCGCGUGUAUAUGCCGGAAACAUCGACUUCUUAUGUUCUAUGUAACGCAUAUAAGCAGCUCUAAGGAAAGGAAACCUCUCUAGGGGCAUUCGUUUACUAACUCUAAGCAAUUUAGGGUAAAUACCGUCAAAAGGAUUUUAUAUUAUCUUGGAUUGAAUUCAAUAUCAUAAACUUUUUAAGAUAAAAAAUUAUCUUACUGUUUCACUAAGUAUGUAUGUUGUAAUAAUUAUUUAUUCAAGAUAUUCAUAUU
Bactrocera neohumeralis is the source of this 1285-nucleotide long non-coding RNA. RefSeq lists it as uncharacterized. The record is from RefSeq and is a predicted model, not a curated record. The transcript is spliced from 3 exons. Lineage: Eukaryota; Metazoa; Arthropoda; Insecta; Diptera; Tephritidae.